Molecule: ribosomal RNA, 394 nt
Filed under: uncultured bacterium
Lineage: Bacteria
Description: partial 16S ribosomal RNA
Rfam family: Bacterial small subunit ribosomal RNA
Source: RNAcentral
AUACGUAGGGAGCGAGCGUUGUCCGGAAUUACCGGGCGUAAAGGGCGCGUAGGCGGCGCUUCAAGUCGUCUGUCAAAUGGGAGGGCUUAACCCUUUUUCGCAGACGAAACUGGAGAGCUUGAGAAGCAGAGAGGCAAACAGAAUUCCUGGUGUAGCGGUGAAAUGCGUAGAUAUCAGGAAGAAUACCAGUGGCGAAGGCGGUUUGCUGGCUGCAUACUGACGCUGAAGCGCGAAAGCCAGGGGAGCAAACGGGAUUAGAUACCCCGGUAGUCCUGGCAGUAAACGAUGUAUGCUGGGUGUGAGACUAGCGAUAGUUUCGUGCCGAAGUUAACGCGAUAAGCAUACCGCCUGGGGAGUACGGUCGCAAGAUUGAAACUCAAAGGAAUUGACGGGG